This is a long non-coding RNA of Acipenser ruthenus (sterlet), 338 nucleotides long. RefSeq lists it as uncharacterized. The transcript is spliced from 3 exons. The record is from RefSeq and is a predicted model, not a curated record. NCBI's taxonomy places the organism in Eukaryota, Metazoa, Chordata, Actinopteri, Acipenseriformes, Acipenseridae.
GCAAGUUAAUACCUGCACUUCACAGUCCCUCAGAGACGAUGAACCUUAAAAGCACAGCUGUUCUUUUGACCAUUCUGAGUGUUGUCACUGUCAAUUCUGAAGAGCCCUCCCUGCCUGAACUCGCGUGCACUCGAGAUGUUGCUUGUUAUAACCAUGCAACUGGAGCACAAAAAGUCUGAAUGGCAGCAUCAAAACACAGCCCAGCAGUGAGAGAUAAAACCAGACAUCUAAACUUAUUAGCUGUUGUACAGAGACAGCAUCUUACAUCCCAUGGAAUAUUCUGAGAAAAGUGACAAGAAUUGAAAUGCAGAAAGAAGAUGGCUUGUGUGACAUUAAAG